Molecule: long non-coding RNA, 1220 nt
Organism: Xenia sp. Carnegie-2017
Lineage: Eukaryota; Metazoa; Cnidaria; Anthozoa; Malacalcyonacea; Xeniidae
Exons: 7
Source: RefSeq, a predicted model, not a curated record
AAUUUGAAAUCUUCUUUAAUUAUUUAAAGAAGAUUAAAGAAGAUUUAAUUAAAGAAGAAUGGCCAACCCUGAUGUUUGUUGAUGUUUUCAAUCUCCUGAUCUUUUGGAUUUACUGCGGAUUCUCAAAAAGUGUCUGUCAAUACCUUUAUACCUCCAACUCCAAGAAUAGUCACGAAUUGCGGAAAUAUAUAUAUGGAUUAAAUUCCAUGAUAUGGAAUAACUUCCAUGAUAUGUGGAACAAGUAUUGCCUGCAAUGGACAUGAAUGGCUAGCAUGACAAAAUUGCUUAAAGAAGGACAACUAAGCUUCAUCUUAUCUUACAGUUUUCAAGAACUUAAAAAAUAUUUAUCAUAAAUGGAAAGCAUUGUUUGGCCAUAGACCAACAUGAUUUUUAGAAACAGCUUUCAAAAGACACCGCUAGAGAACUGGCUAAUAUAUCUGGCAUGCCCUCGACUUCUCAAAUAUAAAGUAAACCAGAUAGAAGGUGGAGAUUGAAAGUCAAGUUUGUAAAAUACACAUUCUAAAACACGAAUUCAACCCAUCGAAUGGUUGCCAAACCAGAUACAAGAUUAUUGAGCGAGUUAUAGUGGAUGCUGAAACACUAUGAAAAAUAAAACAAACUAAGAAGACAGUACCAUUUUAAUUCGUUAUAUGAGAGGAGACAACCGUUGUAUUUCGAACUUAUUACUAUUUCGUCACCACAAAGUUGAUCUCAAAGAAAAGGAAAUGUUAUAAAGAAGAACUGUUGGCCAAAUUGUUAACUUCAACCGCUAAGAAUUUUUGGCGAUGUAGACGUAUGAUUCUAAGGCUCGUGAUGGGAAAUAGAAGAAAGUGGGGCACUCCAAAGUUGGCCAGACAAAUCAUUAAUAAUGAAAGAUAUUGUGGUGUUCGUUGUGGCAAUAUGUGUUCUUGGCAUUGCUGGAAAUACUCUCGUGAUCGCUUCAAUUUUAAAACAAAAGAUUCUGUUAAAGAAGAACUACUACUUUCUUGUCUUGCAUCUUGCAAUAUGUGACUCAUUUGUACUAUUGAGUAUAUUUCUCUUUGAAAUCUUUGAACACCAUUUGAAAAGCAAUCCAAUUAUGUUAAACUGCUCAUAUAUAAGUGGCAUAGAUACUUUUUUUCAAAUAAGUGGAGUUUCUAUGAUGUUGAUCAUUUCAGUUCUACGUUAUCGUGCGAUAGUUCAUCCAUUGAAACCUUCCUUCACUCGACAAAAGAUAAAAA